Neogale vison (American mink) is the source of this 1059-nucleotide long non-coding RNA. RefSeq lists it as uncharacterized. NCBI's taxonomy places the organism in Eukaryota, Metazoa, Chordata, Mammalia, Carnivora, Mustelidae. The transcript is spliced from 3 exons. The record is from RefSeq and is a predicted model, not a curated record.
CUGGGUGGUAUGGGCACACGGGCUUCAGCGGGGCAGGUAGAAAGCUAGGGAGAAAAUGGUGCCCGCCCCCGAGGCUCACUUUCUCCCCGCCUGCGCUGUGCUCCUGGCGAGGCUCCUGGGUGUUGAAAGGAAGGAAUCCAGGAGCAAAGUUACAACAGCAGUUUCCUCUCCCGACCAAGCAAGCUUGUGAUGGCAAUAAUCGUGAACAUCCAUUUCCUCAAGUCCUUCAUGAGCUGGGAAUGAGGAGCCCCCGCCCUACAGGGAACAGCUUCCACAGAGCCUGCUGGCCAAAGGCUCAGGGCCCAGCCACCUGCCCGGGAGAGCUGGCCCGGGUGCCCUGGCCUGGGAAGCCUGGGGCACCUGUGGGAUCUUGAAGGAGUAGAUACUGAGAAAGGAGGUGACCCAGGUCUGCCUUCGGGGGGAGCCUGGUCUCAUGGAGAUGGGAGUGUAGCAGGACAGUCCAGGACAGCUCAAAGCAUCGUUAUUCCUAACGAGCAUUGUCAUCAAUAUGAAUACCCGCAUGUGGACUCCUGGUUCUCCUCCUGCUUAUUUGUUGCUUGCUGGAUCCUCAUCUCCUCCCCCAGACGGUCAGUCACCCUCAAGUUCAACCCCAAGGCUUCCGUUCCUCCCAUCUCCCUCCCUGCAGGCCUGCCAUGGCCCCAGCCCCCACUCUGUGUGUGGUUAGACGUCUGCCUGCAAGCCUGCCUUCUUGAAAUUCCAUGAAAUUUCAAAUUUUGAGCAGAGGAGCUGGCCUCCCACUCUGGCAAGGCUGGGGAGAGACACAGAGAGCAGCAGAAGAAGCCGGAGGGAGACAAGAGAGUUUGUGCCGCUAGUGUCUCCACGGAAAACCAGAGAAGAAUCAGGACUGUUCUUGGGAUUCCCUCUCCUGAGGCAGCAUCUGGGUGCACAGCCAUCUGCUUGCAUGGUGACAUAGCCCACCUAAAAUUUACCAGCCUGUAGUUAAGUGCAGCCAUUAUUAAAAUUAAUUUCUGUAAGUUUACAAUUAAAUGACAUUAAAACAAAAGAGGUGAGUACUCAGAACUCAUCACUGCCUAAUUA